UACGAAGGGGGCUAGCGUUGCUCGGAAUCACUGGGCGUAAAGCGCACGUAGGCGGGCUCUUAAGUCGGUGGUGAAAUCCUGGAGCUCAACUCCAGAACUGCCUUCGAUACUGAGAGUCUCGAGUCCGGGAGAGGUGAGUGGAACUGCGAGUGUAGAGGUGAAAUUCGUAGAUAUCAAGCGGAACACCGGUGGCGAAGGCGGCCUUCUGGACAGUGACUGACGCUGAGACGCGAAAGCGUGGGGAGCAAACAGG
Molecule: ribosomal RNA, 253 nt
Filed under: uncultured bacterium
Lineage: Bacteria
Description: partial 16S ribosomal RNA
Rfam family: Bacterial small subunit ribosomal RNA
Source: RNAcentral